This 354-nucleotide ribosomal RNA is filed under the name Triticum aestivum (bread wheat). RNAcentral's name for it is "partial small subunit ribosomal RNA". The record is from RNAcentral. Lineage: Eukaryota; Viridiplantae; Streptophyta; Magnoliopsida; Poales; Poaceae.
CAAUCUGAUGGGAAAUCUGACAUUGAUGCUAAUGAACUUUAUGUGGAGUUGAUGUUUCUCUAAAAUUUCAUUCCAAAAGAAAAUAUUGGGCCAAUUGAAAUUCUAAGUUUUUAAAGCGGCAUGAUUGUUUUCCCCAAUGAGAGUAUGGCAUAUACAAUUCUACUACCCCUGUGACUGGCUUCUGCAGAACGAAGAUUUUAUAAAUUGAAGCUAUAGAAGUCCUAUAUGUGCAAUACCAUGACACAACAAAGACUCGCUGUUUUGGACACAAAAGCAGUGGAGAGUGAUCUAUCGGAGAAGAUUGAUUAUGAGGAUACUAUUCAAGAUUUUAUUACAAAGAACACUAAAAAAUAG